Molecule: ribosomal RNA, 253 nt
Filed under: uncultured bacterium
Lineage: Bacteria
Description: partial 16S ribosomal RNA
Rfam family: Bacterial small subunit ribosomal RNA
Source: RNAcentral
UACGUAGGUGGCAAGCGUUGUCCGGAUUUACUGGGCGUAAAGCGAACGCAGGCGGACUGUUAAGUAGAAAGUGAAAGGUUGGAGCUCAACUCUAACACUGCUUCCUAUACUGGCAGUCUUGAGUGGCGGAGAGGGAGAUGGAACGACACGUGUAGCGGUGAAAUGCGUUGAUAUGUGUCGGAACACCAAUGGCGAAAGCAAUCUCCUGGACGCAAACUGACGCUGAGGUUCGAAAGCCAAGGUAGCAAACAGG